CAUACUUAUCAUUAAACAUAUCUGACUUAGAAAAAAUAGGAACAGAAUUGUCAAUCAUGUAAAUUUCAUGUGUGUGUUUGCUGCUCUUGGGGCUGGGAAUAGAGUGCUGGUGGUUGGUUGGUGGUAGUGGCGAUCGUGAUUUCGUUGUGCUACUGCUAAAGUCUGUGUGAAAGGAAAUAAUUUCCUAAUUCCAUUUUUUACCAGACUCAUCUUCCAGAACUAGACACACUUUCAUCAGAAAGAGCCAGAUCCUUUAUAACUUGGCUUAGAGACAAUAGACCAUUAAGCCCAAUUCUUCACGUGGUAAAAGAUGAGAGUCCUGCCAAAACAGAAUUUUUUCAACAUUUGAUUGAAGACCGGACAGAAGCGGCCUUCUCUUACUAUGAGUUUUUGCUUCACGUUCAGCAGCAGAUUUGUAAGUGAAGUGGAAUAAAAUUGAAUACGAAGAAAAAGAUCUAUAAACGAGGUAAAGCAUAAUCUGUCAGAAAAGCACAUAGGAAAUUUGAAAUGAAGGAAUUUGUUGUUCCAAGAGACAGUGCAUAGCGUAGCACCCUGUGUGAGGCUUUGGCACAAGGUAAAGAAGAAGAAAGAAUGGGACAGGUUUUCUUCACCGUAAGUUAAUGGUCAUGAUAGUGCUGUUUCACCAAGUAUAUUUUGAAUUGGUUUCCACACAUUUCCAGUAGUGCAGUAGUACAGUAUCUGUUCAUUGCAAGCCGGCAAACCUAUGUAGCUCUGUGGAAUGGUAUGUCAUGAUGUAAAAUUAGAUAAAUUCCUUUUUCUUAUAAUUAAAGUAACAUUUCUGGACUUGAACUCUGACAAAAGAUGCCAAAAGGCAGUGGUACCAUGUUACUUGUUUAUAUAAAUUACUUUUUAACAAGGAAUGAUUCAUAUUCAUUAAAUGAAUUCAAUAUUUUCCCUGUAAAAACAAUAGUUUCAGAACAUGAACUAUAGAAAAAAAUAUAUAUAUAAUGUAUAUAACUGUUACAUUUGUAAAGAAAAUGUAAAAAUGUAACUACAGAAUAUGAAUUGCAUAAACUGUGCUCCAUCGUUGGAUGACAACUCUUUUUGUCGCAGUUAGAGAAUGAGGUUGACUAAUGCAUAUUAUGAAUUGAGUCCACAGAAGAAACACAAAACUCUUUGUAAUUCUGUUAAAUCUUUUAUGUGGAUUUAUUUAUGAUCAGCCUACUAAUUAAAAUAUUUUGCUUGACAAUAUGGUUUGCUCUUUAUGUGUCUGUGGUGGGGGGAGUUGGUGGUAGUUUUGCAAUUGAAUGCUGGGAAAAUGCAAUGAUAGUUUGUUUCAGUUAGUAUGUGAAUACAUUUUCAGUAGUUUGUGCACAUUACCAAGUACUACUGUAUUCUAAACAAGCUCUACUUUCUUUUUUAUUUUAUUUACUUAUUUUUUAUUUAUUUUAUUUUUAUUUUUUUGUCUUUUUGCCAUUUCUUGGACUGUUCCCGCGGCAUAUGGAGGUUCCCCAGGCUAGGGGUCGAAUCAGAGCUGUAGCCACCGUCCUAUGCCAGAACCAUAGCAAUGCGGGAUCCGAGCUGCAUCUGCAACCUACACCACACUCACGGCAACACCAGAUCCUGAACCCACUGAGCAAGGCCAGGGAUCGAACCUGCAACUUCAUGGUUCCUAGUCGGAUUCGUUAACCACUGAGCCAUGACGGGAACUCCUAAACAAACGCUACUUUCAAAAUACAUAUGAUUAUUAACUAGCCAUAUGUAUUAGUUAAUCAUAAUCACUAAUUAUGAUUAAGAUUAAUCGUCUUAAUUUGUCUUUCUCAAAUAAAUUAGACAUUUUUUUCUGCACAUUCAUAGCAAGAAAAUUUUUAAAACUUGUGUCUAUCCUGUUUAAUUGACUUUAAGAUGCCAUCUUAAACAUUGAGAGUGAUUUUAUUUGGGUGAAAAAAUCUCAUUUACUAACACUGUGUUUACUAUAAAAACUGUUAAUGAUCCAUUAGAUUGUGGAAUAAAAUUU
RNAcentral lists this long non-coding RNA (1978 nucleotides) under Sus scrofa (pig). RNAcentral's name for it is "lncRNA (ENSSSCG00035076590.1)". Lineage: Eukaryota; Metazoa; Chordata; Mammalia; Artiodactyla; Suidae. The record is from RNAcentral.